AUUGAACGCUGGCGGCAUGCUCUACACAUGCAAGUCGAACGGUAACAGGCCGCAAGGUGCCGACGAGUGGCGAACGGGUGAGUAAUGCAUCGGAACGUGCCCAGUCGUGGGGGAUAACUACUCGAAAGAGUAGCUAAUACCGCAUACGAUCUAUGGAUGAAAGCGGGGGACCGUAAGGCCUCGCGCGAUUGGAGCGGCCGAUGUCAGAUUAGGUAGUUGGUGGGGUAAAGGCUCACCAAGCCAACGAUCUGUAGCUGGUCUGAGAGGACGACCAGCCACACUGGGACUGAGACACGGCCCAGACUCCUACGGGAGGCAGCAGUGGGGAAUUUUGGACAAUGGGCGCAAGCCUGAUCCAGCAAUGCCGCGUGCAGGAAGAAGGCCUUCGGGUUGUAAACUGCUUUUGUACGGAACGAAACGGCUCUGGUUAAUACCCGGGGCUAAUGACGGUACCGUAAGAAUAAGCACCGGCUAACUACGUG
This 482-nucleotide ribosomal RNA is filed under the name uncultured bacterium. RNAcentral's name for it is "partial 16S ribosomal RNA". It matches the Rfam family "Bacterial small subunit ribosomal RNA", at positions 30 to 507 of the family's 1533-position model. The record is from RNAcentral.